RNAcentral lists this ribosomal RNA (348 nucleotides) under Triticum aestivum (bread wheat). RNAcentral's name for it is "partial small subunit ribosomal RNA". The record is from RNAcentral. Lineage: Eukaryota; Viridiplantae; Streptophyta; Magnoliopsida; Poales; Poaceae.
AUGGAGAUGGCUGAGGAUGACCUAGCGAUGGUCGUGCCCAUCCUGCCUGAAGGUGGCCUCGCGAUGGUGGUGGUUCCUGACAAUGACCACGCAUCGGUGGUGGCGCCGGCAAUCCCACAGCUGGGCGACAUGACCGCGCCAAUUGUGGUAGAAGACUACAUCCCACUGCCUCCACUGCCUCCACUGCCUCGCCGCUCUUGGCGCAUCAGGCUGAGGAAGGAGAAGGAGAAGAACAAUGCAUCAGAACUGAACUUUGUCAGAUUUGAUUUAAUUCACGGAAGCUUGCAUGGAUGGAUUGCUUCUUUUCCAUUUGUGUUUUUAUUUUGUAUCAAUGUGAAACUUUUGUGA